GGGACUCACUCGGAGCGCUGGGAUACAGGAUGUGGUCUCACGUACAUUACCGUCUCUCAGCUGCGGAUUUGCAACUGAUAGUGGCCGCUUCUCCGACGGAUUUAAGGAGGCUCUGGCCAGUCGUCGCGGUAGACCGUCUGACAGGGCUAACGCCCUCCAGGAAAGACCGGCCCUGGCGGAGGCACCGGCCGCACGGCCCGCUCUCACCGCUUCGCCUCCCGCAAGAAGUAGAACACUCAAACAGCAUCAAAGAACAACUCUGGAGCCUGUGCACGAAAUUAACGAGUCUUCCCCCUCCCACCCAAUACUUAUGUUCAUCAAAGUUAGCGGGACAGAAGUGCUGCAACUGACAGGGCUAACGCCCCCCAGGGAGGAUACACAGUCAGCCAUGUAAGAUGCUACAGAGAAGACUGACCUGAGCAUGAGGAGACCUUCUUGAAUGACCUCAUCGUCUUCUGAGGAACCUAAAAUCAGAGAGCUGGAGUCAGUACCGUGUACAUUGUACCAGAGUACCAUAUUUAAUUACUACUUCUCCAGUUUAACAGCUCAUUAGGAGGCCAAGAAUGCCAGGGCAUUGACUCUAUGAAGUGACCUAUAAACUUACUCUUUGAGACUUACCUAGCUCAUCAGAAUCACAAUGAGAUAACCAAGGUGCAAGAUAAAAAAUCAGCCAUUUCUUUUUGUUUUUCCCUAGCACCAGUAAAGACCCUUUCAUUGGUCUCUUAUGAAAACUAUGCAGUUGAUAACAACAGAGGGAAAAGACACAGAUUUGCAGAAUAUUUGAAGGUGUUUGUUUCCUUUAUCAAUAAUUAAUUGCAAUAGGUAACCUAAGAACUAGUGACUUGUCUUUACUAUGCUUAAAUUGUACAUAUUAAGCAAUCAAGUCAUACCUUGUGUAUGAUUAAGGGAAAAAGCCCAAUAAAAUAAUUGUACAGGAUUCUUUCAUGGUCUAAAUUGUAACUCAAUGCCAAUUUAUAAAUACCAAAAGAAAAAUGCUUUCAAUUAUGUCAGUGAUAAAGCUGCAUAGUAAUGGUAUUAAAUUCUAGGUCUCAAUCUGAACAAAACCAGUCCACCAUACAAAUACAGAUGUGUGACUCGACUGAAACUUCAUGGAAGGUGUACCUUUGGUCUAGUUGAGAAAGGCCUGGCUAAUUUCAUAGAAUGCUGAUAAAAAUAUAAUGCUGGCAGAAAGCAUGAAGAAAAAUACCUUGGUUUUGUAGUAAGUUUGUUACUUAUGCUGCCCAGUUUGUUUACCAAAUGAAAGAUGGAUAAGAGCAUGCACAAACUCACCUGCCACAAGCCUGUCCUCUUGUCACCCUCUACUGUCUUUCUGAAUAAUCUAUCUUAACUAAACCCCACCAAAAACGGUGGGGUUUUGAUAUAUGAUAUUUUGUUUAGAUAUAAGCCCAGAUCUCUACUCUUUCUGAGAAAUCUGAGUUUUGUCUUCUUUCCAAUUUAAAAGCACAUCUGGACAGUUAUCUUGCUCUCUUAUUAAAAAAAAAAAUUAGAUAUCCUACUAGGAGUGAGCAAAGUAAAAACAAGAAUGACCAAAGUCCAAUGAAAACCAAAUUUCUCUCUAACUUCUUUUCCCCUACAGUCAGUUAUCCUCAAUCCUUUCCAACAACAGAAAUCAGAAGACAGGGUAGCAGAAUCUUUCUUUUCAGUGCAACAACACUGGCAAGCUGAUUCAGUUCCUCUUCUUUUGUAGUAACUUAUUUUUCCACUGGAAUUGUGCGGACUUUUGCCACGUAUUAAACCUAGCUCUGCUUUUACACCUUCAAGCACUGAAGCCCAAUCUCUUGUAUCUGUUUCUUUGUUCUGCCAACCUGUGGCUAUGUGGCUUUUGUGUCUUUCAGAUUUACUUGCAUUAUUUAUGCAACAUAAUGAAAUAUGCAAGCAUAGAGUAAAGGAUCCGUUCUUGGCUUUGGCAUGUAGCCUGCUUCGGUUUAUGAAGGGAUUGAAAAUAAGUAUUUGGGGAGUGGUACACGAACUAAAAGCAGGGAAGUACAGUUCUUAAAAACUGUAGCAGAAAACAGCACAAGUUCAAGUAAUUUUUGUUUCCAGUACUGCCAUUUCACAACACAUUUGUAAGCAUCACAUGUUUUAGAGGGUCAAAAACAUAUAACAGAUUAUUAAGCAGAAAAAAGAUGUAAUUUUUUUAUAGUUAUUACAAAAAGCUUCCUGAUACGAUGCCCAAAACUUGAUUUAAAGGAUAUUAGUGUAGAAAAGCCUGGGCAUUUCAAUUCUACAAACUCAUUUAAACAGAUAAUUUAAACGAGAAACUAUUUUGGCAUGUAUUGUGCUGCAUCCUCCUGAAAGAGGUAAAUUCCAUUUAAAUGGAAUCAGGUUUGAGCUCUGAAAUGGCUCAUGGUGAACUCUCUCCUGUGCCUCCUUAUGCUGUACAAACCACAAAAAUAUCUUGGCAUUUUAGUUCUGAAACUAUCUCAGCAUUUACAUGAACUUUGUAACUGCAAAUAAGUGAAUAAAUGCUGCUUAGGAAUUUUGUACUAGAUAGCAAUGUGUUUUUAGAGAAAAAGUCCCUUCCUUUGAAAGCAACCCUUAUUAUAACUAGACAUUCAUACCAUGUGGAAGGAUUCUAUAACAGUAGGCACAAAAAUAAUGCAACAGAACACCAUAUGGAAAUAUUGCUGGAUAGGAAAUG
Corapipo altera (White-ruffed manakin) is the source of this 2662-nucleotide long non-coding RNA. RefSeq lists it as uncharacterized. The record is from RefSeq and is a predicted model, not a curated record. The transcript has 3 exons. Lineage: Eukaryota; Metazoa; Chordata; Aves; Passeriformes; Pipridae.